This 278-nucleotide unclassified non-coding RNA is filed under the name uncultured Glomerales. RNAcentral describes it as "sequence contains 5.8S rRNA gene, ITS2, 28S rRNA gene". The stretch from base 1 to 52 matches the Rfam family "5.8S ribosomal RNA", at positions 103 to 154 of the family's 154-position model. Lineage: Eukaryota; Fungi; Glomeromycota; Glomeromycetes; Glomerales; Glomeraceae. The record is from RNAcentral.
AACGCAAAUUGCACUUUCUGGUAUUCCGGAAAGUAUGCCUGUUUGAGGGUCAGUUAAAUAAAAAUCGGUGUUAUUGCUGUUAAUGGUGAUGCGUCGGAAUUGAGUCGUCUUUACCUUUGGUUUAAGUGACUUAAAAUUAUGUACGAUUUCUGAACGUAUUUAAAUUAUUUACUUACGCUCAUGAUAUCACAUAUUAGGCGCGAUCAUCCACAUGAUUUCGCGUCUAUAAUUUUUCAUUAUUUGACCUCAAAUCAGGUAAGAAUACCCGCUGAACUUAA